GAUGAACGCUGGCGGCGUGCUUAAUACAUGCAAGUCGAAUGAACAUUAAGAGUGCUUGCACUUUUAAUGUUAGUGGCGAACGGGUGAGUAAUACAUAGGCAACUUGCCCCAAGGACUGGGAUAACACUUGGAAACAGGUGCUAAUACCGCAUAAGACCACGGAUGGGCAUCCAUCAGAGGUAAAAGGUGCAAACCGGUUUGGGUGGGCUCGCGUCCGAUUAGAUAGUUGGUGAGGUAACGGCCCACCAAGUCGACGAUCGGUAGCCGACCUGAGAGGGUGAUCGGCCACAUUGGAACUGAGAGACGGUCCAA
RNAcentral lists this ribosomal RNA (312 nucleotides) under uncultured bacterium. RNAcentral describes it as "bacterial SSU rRNA". It matches the Rfam family "Bacterial small subunit ribosomal RNA", at positions 28 to 334 of the family's 1533-position model. The record is from RNAcentral.